Molecule: ribosomal RNA, 597 nt
Filed under: Ephemera simulans
Lineage: Eukaryota; Metazoa; Arthropoda; Insecta; Ephemeroptera; Ephemeridae
Description: bacterial SSU rRNA
Rfam family: Eukaryotic small subunit ribosomal RNA
Source: RNAcentral
AGCCGCGGUAAUUCCAGCUCCAUUGGCGUAUAUUAAAGUUGUUGCGGUUAAAAAGCUCGUAGUUGGAUCUGUGUCCCGGAUGGUCGGUGCGCCGCUCGCGUGUCUUCACUGACUCUUCCGGACGUCCUGCCGGUGGACCGUUCGUCGGCCCCCUCGGUGUUCGCGCGGGCGGCCCUGACUCCCUCCGCGCUGCUCUUAACCGAGCGGUUCGGUGGGCCGGCAAGUUUACUUUGAACAAAUUUGAGUGCUCAAAGCAGGCGGCAAGUCGCUGAAAACUGUGUGCAUGGAAUAAUGGAAUAGGACUUCGGUUCUAUUUUGUUGGCUUUUCUGAACCCGAAGUAAUGAUUAAUAGGGACAGACGGGGGCAUUCGUAUUCAAGCGUUAGAGGUGAAAUUCUUGGAUCGCUUGAAGACGGACGGAUGCGAAACGUUUGCCAAGAAUGUUUUCGCUGAUCAAGAACGAAAGUUAGAGGUUCGAAGGCGAUCAGAUACCGCCCUAGUUCUAACCAUAAACGAUGCCAGCCAGCGAUGCGCCCGAGUUCCUCCGAUGACUGGGCGCGCACUUCCGGGAAACCAAAGCCUUUGGGUUCCGGGGGAA